GUGAGGAAUAUUGGUCAAUGGGCGGGAGCCUGAACCAGCCAAGUCGCGUGAAGGAAGAAGGAUCUAUGGUUUGUAAACUUCUUUUGCAGGGGAAUAAAGUGCAGGACGUGUCCUGUUUUGUAUGUACCCUGAUAAUAAGGAUCGGCUAACUCCGUGCCAGCAGCCGCGGUAAUACGGAGGAUCCGAGCGUUAUCCGGAUUUAUUGGGUUUAAAGGGUGCGUAGGUGGUUUGAUAAGUCAGCGGUGAAAGUUUGCAGCUUAACUGUAAAAAUGCCGUUGAAACUGUCGGACUUGAGUGUAAAUGAGGUAGGCGGAAUGCGUGGUGUAGCGGUGAAAUGCAUAGAUAUCACGCAGAACUCCGAUUGCGAAGGCAGCUUACUAAGCUACAACUGACACUGAAGCACGAAAGCGUGGGGAUCAAACAGGAUUAGAAACCCCGGUAGUCC
RNAcentral lists this ribosomal RNA (445 nucleotides) under uncultured bacterium. RNAcentral describes it as "partial 16S ribosomal RNA". It matches the Rfam family "Bacterial small subunit ribosomal RNA", at positions 354 to 796 of the family's 1533-position model. The record is from RNAcentral.